CUACAGUAACUUCCAUAUAUGGUCAGACAGGUGAUUCUUCCGGCUACAGACUCACCGUGUUUUCACGGUGCUGACUUACCAUUGGAUGAAAGUGACGGUCAAUUAAACACACGUGGCGAUCGCGUAAAGAUGCUCUCCUCUGAUUGGCUGUCGGAGUUAAAAGCCCGUUAGCUUCGUCACUUUAGGUCGUAGAAAGAUGCUGAUUGGUUCGUUUUGUUCCUGGGCGGUUACUGAUUUCAGAGAUACUGAACAUCAUUGGUCAAAUAUUUUGUCGCUACUUUAAAUUGACAGAAAUCACUUUGUUUUGGAAGUUUGACGAGCGGCGCUAAAAAUAAACGAGCGACACAAUCGACUUUUAUUCAGGUUAUUUUACUUCCGCUUGAACUUUAACGAGCUGGAUUCACUCGGUGGACUUUUGUUCUUUAAAACGAGCCUCUGUUUGUCUGUAAAUGUCUGUUUUUCGACCUAUAAAUCCAUUUUAACUGCAGCUACACAGGAUAGCAGGAAAACACGCUGUUUGUUUAUUUAUUAAUGUUUACAUGGAAAUCUGGGUCGCGUGCAACCUCCGCGCCAGAAAAGAUUAAAGGACAGAUCAGCUGAAAACAUCCCAGGGGCAGCUGCAAAGCCGUCUGUCACUACACUCGAUCAAACAAAUGAUGGGAUCCUGCUGCAGUGUGAAGUUCUUGCCGCUUUUCCAAAACCUACAGUAGAGUGGCAGGACAGUGCAGGAAACAAACUUCCUGCUGAGGAGCCACAGGUCUCAGAAAGAGGAGGCAGCUUCAACAUCAUCCUCCAAACUACUGUAAUGAAGACUGACCGCUAUCGCUGUGUAGCCACACAGGAGGAGAUCAACCAUCGGAUUUAUGCUGAGACCUUCGUGCCUCU
This is a long non-coding RNA of Micropterus dolomieu (smallmouth bass), 885 nucleotides long. RefSeq lists it as uncharacterized. The transcript is spliced from 3 exons. Lineage: Eukaryota; Metazoa; Chordata; Actinopteri; Centrarchiformes; Centrarchidae. The record is from RefSeq and is a predicted model, not a curated record.